Molecule: long non-coding RNA, 1227 nt
Organism: Xenopus tropicalis (tropical clawed frog)
Lineage: Eukaryota; Metazoa; Chordata; Amphibia; Anura; Pipidae
Exons: 3
Source: RefSeq, a predicted model, not a curated record
ACAGCCCUAUUAAAGUAAAGCCUGUAGGCUACGGAGUUACUAAUGCUAAAAUGGAUAUAUCAGUAUGUAACACAGAUAGUAUCUCUAAUCGGCAAGAGGUUAAACUCCUGACAGGAAAAAUCAUUUGGAUUGUACCAAUAUACUGCCCAGGAGUGCAAGAUAUAAGUCGGUAUGCUUUACUUUUUAUUCGGUUCUAAUUAAGUUAUAAAUAGUUUCUGACAGACCAGCAAACUUCUGUGUAAGAAUCACAGCCAAACACUGAGCAGAAUCUUUGCCAGACUGUAGCCCUCAAUGGACUUUCCCAAACCCCCCUGUACGCUCUGGCAUUUGGUCUGGCCCCCUCAGUGCAUCAGCCCCACAGAAGAGACAAGAUGGCUGCCACUGCUCUAAUUGCCUCAAAAGUUUUAUAGUUGAUUCCAAAGGCUAUUUAUUUACUGCAGCAGCCUGUUUGCCUUUAUCUAUAGCAAUUUCAUGCUUUUAGCAGCUCCUGCAGUGUGUGUAGCACAUUCCCAAAUGUUUUUUAUAAAGACAGGCAGAGUACUUGUAUUCAAAAUGGCCGCCAUGGAAAAAACUAUGAUUUAAUCCCCACACUGUCACCCAAUUGUUGUGAGCUGCCUGUUGUACUGAGCUGGGAUUGUUAUAUGGGAAUGUGUCGUGUAUUCCCGCUAUGCUGCAGAUCCUCCCAGUUUUAUAAAUCCUGUAAUAUGUUGUAACCUCUAUUUCAGCUCAAUAGCUGCCUUCCCGGACUGGUACCAGUAGAAUAUGGGUUACACCGGACUCUCUCACCCAGAAUGGGCCUUCACUAAGUGGAAGAGGAAGGAGAAGACUGACCCGCUCUGGGAUCCCUGGGCAUGCUGGGAAAUGGGACCGUGCAGGGUUUAAUGGAUCCACUCUUCAGCAUGUGGCUUUAAACAAAGUGUUAAUCUUUCCAUUGUGUCAUGUUUCUGGGUUCUGAUCCAAUUAUCUGCAGAAACGAUGGGAUCGGCCAAUGGCAUUAUCCCGGGAUUUGUUGCCUUUAUGGCUCGCUGUCUGGUCGCUCCCGUCACGGAUAUCAAGAUACAGAAGAUUUGCAUCCAUCUUGCAAUUCAAUUUUUAGCAGUUCGGGCAGUUAAAGCAAACUGCCACCUGGAAGAAGCGCAGAGCUCACUGUCAUAUUCAGAACCCGGAGACAUUAAUAUCGGGGGCAUUUUGCAGAUAACGUUAAUAAAACAAAAGUUCUACUUGGAA